UAGACCUAAACUUGAGGAGGAAAUCCUAAACCUAAGCGGUCUAAACUCUAGGUCAAUGCCCUAACCAUAGAUAGUGUGUUAGUAUUAACUGACAAUUACUACUUAUUAUCCCUUCCAAUAUUAUUAUAAAUUAAUUAUAUAAACUAGGUUUCGACUCCUAAGCAGAGCCUAAAACUAAACUCUAGGACGAAAACCCUAAUUCUAUGUUAAAACCCUAAGAUAGAUAACUCAAACCCUAGGUUGUGAUCUUAAACCUAGGAAGUGUGCAGAACUUGGAUCUAAUUGUACAAGUUCACAAUUUGUGGUAAGAUACAAUGUUAAGGCGCAAGCACUUAGCGACACUAGAAGGCGAUUCAAAGUAUAAGGUAGCACAGGUGGCCCAGGUGAAAUUCAUGUUUAUAUUGACGAGGAGCAAGCUAUAUUUGACAGGGAUGCAUGAUUAUGAUUGCUAAGGGUUGCUACAGGAUUUCAUAUCCCAAAUUUAUUGUAAUUUACUUUAUUUCACAUGUAAUAUUAUUUCAUUUUAUAAUUGUAAGAAUGGGGACAUUGGUUUGUAUAAGUCAUUAUGUGCAGCUCUUAUAUAUUUCAAAUAUAAAUGAAGUUUUCCUUUAUGUUUAUUUGUC
Magnolia sinica is the source of this 623-nucleotide long non-coding RNA. RefSeq lists it as uncharacterized. NCBI's taxonomy places the organism in Eukaryota, Viridiplantae, Streptophyta, Magnoliopsida, Magnoliales, Magnoliaceae. The record is from RefSeq and is a predicted model, not a curated record. The transcript is spliced from 2 exons.